GUUCAUAUUUUUUUUAAUCAACAGUAUCUUUCUGCUAAAUUGAAUAAAAUGUCGUGGAGGAACACGAAGAAAAGGAAUGCGCAUCUCAACAUAUUCAAGGUCAAGCAGCUUUUUUCCUUAUUCAUUGUAUCUUGCUGCUAAAUGAAAGAAUUAUUGUGAAGGAACAGAGAAAAGAGCACUUCAACAUGUUCAAUUUCAAGCAGAAAUUAGGAGCUAGAUGUGCUUCUCCAGAGCUGAAAACCUCUUGGCAAGAAGAGAAGAAAAACCAGGAAGAAGCAGAUUUAAAUAUUGAUUGCGUCUUCAUAGUACAAAAAAUGAUUCUUGUGAUGAUACCAUCUAUGAAAUUAGAAAACUGACGUGGCCUUCUGAUGAUUGUGAGAAAGUCUUCAAAGAACAGGACACCAAAAGUGCCACUCUCAAAUCAAAGCACUCUAAAAGGCAGAGCAUAAGAAGAACUAGGACAAAUAAAGAAUCUAAAAGAGUCAAACCUAUGGACGUAGUAAUUGAACAGAGAUCGGCUAUUAGAGAUGAAAAAUAUCUGAGUUGCUACUGUUUUGCACAAAUUUGAUGCUUUUUUAAACUUAUUUUAAUUGACACAUUCAAUAUUAGUUAAGAAAAUAUACUUAGUGUUGCAAUUUUUUGACAGUGAAAGUUUUCUAUGAUGCUUGAUUAUAGAUUAAAACUGUUAUGUUUUUUUUUUAUUGUUUAAACAUUUAUUGAUUUAUUGUGUAGUAUGCAAUCACAUACACUUUUAUCUUGAUUUAUAUAUUACAUAUAUGUACAAGUCUGACUUGAAUAUAAGUGCAUGGACAUUAUUGUGGAAAAAAAUAAGACAAUCAAGGGUAGUCUGAAAAAGUUUUGCUGGCAGUAAGUUGCAGAUCUUGAUACCCAAGUAAGAGAAAGGUGGAGUCUCUGACCGAUCCUUUUGCUGUUGCUUGUGGGCGAGUGAGGCUUCUCUGUCAGUGACUUAGUGAGUCAUAGAUGUAAAAAUAGAAUAGACAAAUGAGGUAGAGACAUUUCUGAGUAAAAAAGGGGGCAAUUGUGAUUUUAAUAAAUAUUACAAUUAUUAUUGCAAGAGUA
Long non-coding RNA from Saccostrea cuccullata (small rock oyster), 1080 nucleotides. RefSeq lists it as uncharacterized. Lineage: Eukaryota; Metazoa; Mollusca; Bivalvia; Ostreida; Ostreidae. The transcript is spliced from 3 exons. The record is from RefSeq and is a predicted model, not a curated record.